AACGCACAUUGCGCCCGCCAGUACUCUGGCGGGCAUGCCUGUCCGAGCGUCAUUUCAACCCUCAGGACCCGCCCCGCGCGGGACCUGGCGUUGGGGAUCGGCCUCCGCCCCGACGGCGGCCGGCCCCGAAAUGGAGUGGCGGUCACGUCGCGACCUCCUCUGUGCAGUAGUCCAUACCUCGCAGCUGGAUAGCGGCGCGGCCACGCCGUAAAACCCCCCGACCAUCUUCAAGGUUGACCUCGGAUCAGGUAGGAAUACCCGCUGAACUUAA
This 271-nucleotide unclassified non-coding RNA is filed under the name uncultured fungus. RNAcentral's name for it is "partial contains 5.8S ribosomal RNA, internal transcribed spacer 2, and large subunit ribosomal RNA". The stretch from base 1 to 52 matches the Rfam family "5.8S ribosomal RNA", at positions 103 to 154 of the family's 154-position model. Lineage: Eukaryota; Fungi. The record is from RNAcentral.